ACUGCGAGUGAAGCGGGAAAAGCUCAAAUUUAAAAUCUGGCGGUCUUUGGCUGUCCGAGUUGUAAUCUAGAGAAGUGCUAUCCGCGCUGGACCGUGUACAAGUCUCCUGGAACGGAGCGUCAUAGAGGGUGAGAAUCCCGUCUUUGACACGGACUACCAGGGCUUUGUGAUGUGCUCUCAAAGAGUCGAGUUGUUUGGGAAUGCAGCUCUAAAUGGGUGGUAAAUUCCAUCUAAAGCUAAAUAUUGGCGAGAGACCGAUAGCGAACAAGUACCGUGAGGGAAAGAUGAAAAGAACUUUGGAAAGAGAGUUAAACAGUACGUGAAAUUGUUGAAAGGGAAACGCUUGAAGUCAGUCGCGUUGGCUGGGGAUCAACCUUGCUCUUUUGCUUGGCGUACUUUCCAGUUGACGGGUCAGCAUCAAUUUUGACCAGUGGAUAAAGGUCAGGGGAAUGUGGCAUCUUCGGAUGUGUUAUAGCCCUUGGUUGCAUACAUUGGUUGGGAUUGAGGAACUCAGCACGCCGCAAGGCCGGGUCUUUGACCACGUACGUGCUUAGGAUGCUGGCAUAAUGGCUUUAAUCGACCCGUCUUGAAACACGGACCAAGGAGUCUAACAUGCCCGCGAGUGUUUGGGUGGAAAACCCG
RNAcentral lists this ribosomal RNA (642 nucleotides) under Collybia sordida. RNAcentral describes it as "eukaryotic LSU rRNA". It matches the Rfam family "Eukaryotic large subunit ribosomal RNA", at positions 86 to 710 of the family's 3401-position model. Lineage: Eukaryota; Fungi; Basidiomycota; Agaricomycetes; Agaricales; Clitocybaceae. The record is from RNAcentral.